UGGGGAAUAUUGCACAAUGGGCGCAAGCCUGAUGCAGCCAUGCCGCGUGUGUGAAGAAGGCCUUCGGGUUGUAAAGCACUUUCAGCGAGGAGGAAGGUGGUGAGCUUAAUACGCUCAUCAAUUGACGUUACUCGCAGAAGAAGCACCGGCUAACUCCGUGCCAGCAGCCGCGGUAAUACGGAGGGUGCAAGCGUUAAUCGGAAUUACUGGGCGUAAAGCGCACGCAGGCGGUUUGUUAAGUCAGAUGUGAAAUCCCCGGGCUCAACCUGGGAACUGCAUUUGAAACUGGCAAGCUAGAGUCUCGUAGAGGGGGGUAGAAUUCCAGGUGUAGCGGUGAAAUGCGUAGAGAUCUGGAGGAAUACCGGUGGCGAAGGCGGCCCCCUGGACGAAGACUGACGCUCAGGUGCGAAAGCGUGGGGCAGCAAACAGGAUUAGAUACCCUGGUAGUCCACGCUGUAAACGAUGUCGAUUUUGGAGGUUGUGCCCUUGAGGCGUGGCUUCCGGAGCUAACGCGUUAAAUCGACCGCCUGGGGAGUACGGCCGCAAGGUUAAAACUCAAAGGAAUUG
Molecule: ribosomal RNA, 567 nt
Filed under: uncultured bacterium
Lineage: Bacteria
Description: partial 16S ribosomal RNA
Rfam family: Bacterial small subunit ribosomal RNA
Source: RNAcentral